Molecule: transfer RNA, 25 nt
Filed under: Ginoria americana
Lineage: Eukaryota; Viridiplantae; Streptophyta; Magnoliopsida; Myrtales; Lythraceae
Description: partial tRNA-Phe
Source: RNAcentral
AGAGGACUGAAAAUCCUCGUGUCAC